This 253-nucleotide ribosomal RNA is filed under the name uncultured bacterium. RNAcentral describes it as "partial 16S ribosomal RNA". It matches the Rfam family "Bacterial small subunit ribosomal RNA", at positions 524 to 776 of the family's 1533-position model. The record is from RNAcentral.
GACGAACCGUGCGAACGUUAUUCGGAAUCACUGGGCUUAAAGGGCGCGUAGGCGGGCUCGCCAGUCAGGGGUGAAAGCCCACGGCUCAACCGUGGAAGUGCCUUUGAUACUGCGAGUCUCGAGGGAGGUAGGGGCGUGCGGAACUUCCGGUGGAGCGGUGAAAUGCGUAGAUAUCGGAAGGAACACCGGUGGCGAAAGCGGCGCGCUGGACCUCUUCUGGCGCUGAGGCGCGAAAGCCAGGGGAGCAAACGGG